RNAcentral lists this ribosomal RNA (253 nucleotides) under uncultured bacterium. Its description in RNAcentral is "partial 16S ribosomal RNA". It matches the Rfam family "Bacterial small subunit ribosomal RNA", at positions 524 to 776 of the family's 1533-position model. The record is from RNAcentral.
UACGUAGGGGGCUAGCGUUGUCCGGAAUCAUUGGGCGUAAAGCGCGCGUAGGCGGCCCGGUAAGUCCGCUGUAAAAGUCAAAGGCUCAACCUUUGAAUGUCAGUGGAUACUGCCGGGCUAGAGUCCGGAAGAGGCGAGUGGAACUCCUGGUGUAGCGGUGGAAUGCGCAGAUAUCAGGAGGAAUACCGAUGGCGAAGGCAGGUCUCUGGGCUGACACUGACGCUCAUGCACGAAAGCGUGGGGAGCAAACAGG